CAAGAGAGAGAGAGAGAGAGAGAGAGAGAGAGAGAGAGAGAGAGAGAGAGAGAGAGAGAGAGAGAGAGAGAGAGAGAACUGUUGUAAAAAAGCAAGCCAGUCGAGUAGACGUAUGGAAGAAAACGAUAUUAGGAUAUCUAUCUCAGCACACAGACCAGAGAAGAAGACCACUGUCUUAUCAGUGAAGCAACACGACUCCGGAACAGUGACCAUGACCCUUAGUGCUCUAGAGGAAAGCUGGGAUAGUGGAGGUCAGGAAGUACAGAAGAGAGAGGAGGAGCAUGUAGAGCGAGAGUGGAGAAAUGGAAAGAAGCAAAGGAAAAGGCAGUUGAAAUGAGUUUAGCUCUGAAGGACUGAUGAAAACCUUCCGAAAAAAAAAUAAAACAAGCGGAAUUGCAGAAGGAUGUACAGUACCAGCUCUCCAAAUAUCAUUGGUUUGUUCGACAAACCCAAAUCAGACGGAACUCAAAGAGCUCCACGUCUGGAGUUUCCUUUCAUCAAGCAAACCCCGGCAGGCUGACGAUACUCUGAGUGGAACUCUGUCAACUUCCGCCUCUGUACGCCAUAUGAGC
Molecule: long non-coding RNA, 572 nt
Organism: Tachysurus fulvidraco (yellow catfish)
Lineage: Eukaryota; Metazoa; Chordata; Actinopteri; Siluriformes; Bagridae
Exons: 3
Source: RefSeq, a predicted model, not a curated record